UACGUAGGGGCUAGCGUUAUCCGGAAUUACUGGGCGUAAAGGGUGCGUAGGCGGUCUUUCAAGCCAGAAGUGAAAGGCUACGGCUCAACCGUAGUAAGCUUUUGGAACUGUAAGACUUGAGUGCAGGAGAGGAGAGUGGAAUUCCUAGUGUAGCGGUGAAAUGCGUAGAUAUUAGGAGGAACACCAGUGGCGAAGGCGGCUUUCUGGACUGUAACUGACGUUGAGGCGCGAAAGCGUGGGUAGCAAACAGGAUUAGAUACCCUGAUAGUCCCUGA
RNAcentral lists this ribosomal RNA (275 nucleotides) under uncultured prokaryote. Its description in RNAcentral is "partial 16S ribosomal RNA". It matches the Rfam family "Bacterial small subunit ribosomal RNA", at positions 524 to 800 of the family's 1533-position model. The record is from RNAcentral.